This 302-nucleotide unclassified non-coding RNA is filed under the name Hevea brasiliensis (rubber tree). Lineage: Eukaryota; Viridiplantae; Streptophyta; Magnoliopsida; Malpighiales; Euphorbiaceae. The record is from RNAcentral.
AACAGUACCUUAAAGACUAUCAGACUUUUGUUGGCACAGCCCGUUACUGGACAGAAACUUUUGCCAAGAUCUCAUCUCUUGGGGUUGAGGAAAAGGUGCAGAAACUUGUUGAGAUGGGCUUCCAUGAAGCUAUACUCAGUAUGAACAUUUUGUAUCUUUGAUAAGACGAUCAGCGUGCUUUGUUCUGGCUAAGAAAGGAUUGGAAGCCAAUGCUUAUUGUUUUAUCAAGAUGCAGAAGGUUCAUACGAGUAUAGGGUUUCCUAAUUUAGUCUCUGUUGAACAUGGCUGCUGAUGAAGCCGGA